GACAGUGUGGUGUAGGGGUUUGAGCCUUGGACUACACUCUGGAGGCCAGGGUUCGAUUCCCUGCUCAGUCA
Molecule: non-coding RNA, 71 nt
Organism: Phrynosoma platyrhinos (Desert horned lizard)
Lineage: Eukaryota; Metazoa; Chordata; Lepidosauria; Squamata; Phrynosomatidae
Source: the annotation of a GenBank genome assembly